UGUGGCUUUGCUGCAGUGAGAGGCAGAUUAGAAAAGUUUGUAUUGUUACCAGUAAAGAGGAGAAUGGAUUUAAUACAAAUUCACCUUCUUUAAAUGUUGGCUCAUAGAUAUUGUGCAUUAGUGCAAUACCAAAUGAUAUUAAUGAUUGGAACUCUGGACUCUUCUAUACAUGCUGUGUCAGCAAUAACAAAGAAAGAGUUGUGGUCAAAGAAGAUGAGCGAUUCAGUUUUAGAUUUUGUUGGUUACGACCGAUCACUACUCUGUGCCCUAGCUAACGGUUAUAUUGCAGUACUAGCAACUGCUGGAGUCACACCUCCUGAGCUAGAUCCACUCUUAUACCAUAUUGGAAAUACAGCUAUAGAAGCUAUUAUAUACAGUACACACCAUUUGAGCAUAUCUGGUGUGCUUGUGGCAAAGCAAUCACUAUGAUAUCAUCAGAAACCCAUGAACUGAUCAAACCUGUUGUGAUGCCUGACAAUGCUGGUAAAGUGUAUCACAUGGAGUUGGGACCUCACAGGAUAUGGGUCACCUUCAAUUCGUCAACUAUCAUCUGUUUAUAUGACACUCAGCACAUGAUUGAACUAUUGCAAGUUGACUAUCCACAAUUAUUACAAACAGAGUUACCGGUGUCUGAGGAGCUUAUCGUAUAAUAGUGGCUACACUGAUUGACGAUUUAUUGGGGAUAGGAAUUUGAAAUGCGUGCAUUCACAUACAUGUAUAUAUUUUCAGUUAAUCCCAUUGUCACUUGUCCAAAGGAUAGUACCGUACAAAUUGCUCGUCAAUUACACAUAGCGGACUCCUUUCAAGUAGAAAAGGGCCUUUAAGAGAGUCCAGUAUCAGUAAAGGUCUGGUAUCAAUGACCACACCCAACUGGUAUCGCAUCAUAAAAAGAACUUUGGUAAAACCUUUAGACGUCAAAUAAGGAGAGAUGCUGAGAUCAAGGACAGAGAGGGAAUAUAUGAGUUAUACCACUUGAGUAGCAGUAGGGUACUACCUGACAGUAAGGAUUGUUCAGGCGUGAAUAUACUCAAGCCAAUAAAGUUUGAGGGCCAGUUGUUUGUCAUUAGUUGUCUUAAUGAUCAUAGUGUGGUUGAGAAAGCUGUUCAGUUGUGGCAAUGUUCUUCAUCUCUCCCACCUAAUCGCAUAAGAAUAAAACAACAAUAUGAGUACAGUUAGAUCAAUUACAAAAUGUAUAGCUAGUGUGUGCAUUUUUAUCUGAAUACACUACAUUAUGGCUCACUACUAAAAGCAAAGACAUAUCUUUUGAACUCAGGUUAUAUAAAGACAGUCUAUAGCAUAUAUUUUUUGUCAGUACACAAUA
Long non-coding RNA from Amphimedon queenslandica, 1321 nucleotides. RefSeq lists it as uncharacterized. The transcript is spliced from 7 exons. NCBI's taxonomy places the organism in Eukaryota, Metazoa, Porifera, Demospongiae, Haplosclerida, Niphatidae. The record is from RefSeq and is a predicted model, not a curated record.